RNAcentral lists this ribosomal RNA (445 nucleotides) under uncultured bacterium. Its description in RNAcentral is "SSU rRNA". It matches the Rfam family "Bacterial small subunit ribosomal RNA", at positions 26 to 518 of the family's 1533-position model. The record is from RNAcentral.
AGAACGAACGCUGGCGGCAUGCUUAACACAUGCAAGUCGAACGGUGGCUUCGGCCACAGUGGCGCACGGGUGAGUAACGCGUGGGAACCUGCCUUGGAGUUCGGAAUAACCGCGGGAAACUGCGGCUAAUACCGGAUAUUGCCUUCGGGUGAAAGAUUUAUCGCUCCAAGAGGGGCCCGCGUCCGAUUAGCUAGUUGGUGAGGUAACGGCUCACCAAGGCUCCGAUCGGUAGCUGGUCUGAGAGGAUGAUCAGCCACACUGGGACUGGGACACGGCCCAGACUCCUACGGGAGGCAGCAGUGGGGAAUAUUGGACAAUGGGGGCAACCCUGAUCCAGCAAUGCCGCGUGAGUGAUGAAGGCCUUAGGGUUGUAAAGCUCUUUACCCACGACGAUGAUGACGGUAGUGGGAGAAUAAGCCCCGGCUAACUUCGCGCCAGCAGCCGC